UGCUGGAGGUAUCAGAAGUGCGAAUGCUGACAUAAGUAACGAUAAAGCGGGUGAAAAGCCCGCUCGCCGGAAGACCAAGGGUUCCUGUCCAACGUUAAUCGGGGCAGGGUGAGUCGACCCCUAAGGCGAGGCCGAAAGGCGUAGUCGAUGGGAAACGGGUUAAUAUUCCCGUACUUGGUGUUACUGCGAAGGGGGGACGGAGAAGGCUAUGUUGGCCGGGCGACGGUUGUCCCGGUUUAAGCGUGUAGGUGUGUGUUCCAGGUAAAUCCGGUUCACUUUAACACUGAGGCGUGACGACGAGGCACUACGGUGCUGAAGCAACAAAUGCCCUGCUUCCAGGAAAAGCCUCUAAGCAUCAGGUAACAUCAAAUCGUACCCCAAACCGACACAGGUGGUCAGGUAGAGAAUACCAAGGCGCUUGAGAGAACUCGGGUGAAGGAACUAGGCAAAAUGGUGCCGUAACUUCGGGAGAAGGCACGCUGACACGUAGGUGAAGUGAUUUACUCAUGGAGCUGAAGUCAGUCGAAGAUACCAGCUGGCUGCAACUGUUUAUUAAAAACACAGCACUGUGCAAACACGAAAGUGGACGUAUACGGUGUGACGCCUGCCCGGUGCCGGAAGGUUAAUUGAUGGGGUCAGCGCAAGCGAAGCUCCUGAUCGAAGCCCCGGUAAACGGCGGCCGUAACUAUAACGGUCCUAAGGUAGCGAAAUUCCUUGUCGGGUAAGUUCCGACCUGCACGAAUGGCGUAAUGAUGGCCAGGCUGUCUCCACCCGAGACUCAGUGAAAUUGAACUCGCUGUGAAGAUGCAGUGUACCCGCGGCAAGACGGAAAGACCCCGUGAACCUUUACUAUAGCUUGACACUGAACAUUGAGCCUUGAUGUGUAGGAUAGGUGGGAGGCUUUGAAGUGUGGACGCCAGUCUGCAUGGAGCCGACCUUGAAAUACCACCCUUUAAUGUUUGAUGUUCUAACGUGGACCCGUUACCCGGGUUGCGGACAGUGUCUGGUGGGUAGUUUGACUGGGGCGGUCUCCUCCUAAAGAGUAACGGAGGAGCACGAAGGUUGGCUAAUCCUGGUCGGACAUCAGGAGGUUAGUGCAAUGGCAUAAGCCAGCUUGACUGCGAGCGUGACGGCGCGAGCAGGUGCGAAAGCAGGUCAUAGUGAUCCGGUGGUUCUGAAUGGAAGGGCCAUCGCUCAACGGAUAAAAGGUACUCCGGGGAUAACAGGCUGAUACCGCCCAAGAGUUCAUAUCGACGGCGGUGUUUGGCACCUCGAUGUCGGCUCAUCACAUCCUGGGGCUGAAGUAGGUCCCAAGGGUAUGGCUGUUCGCCAUUUAAAGUGGUACGCGAGCUGGGUUUAGAACGUCGUGAGACAGUUCGGUCCCUAUCUGCCGUGGGCGCUGGAGAACUGAGGGGGGCUGCUCCUAGUACGAGAGGACCGGAGUGGACGCAUCACUGGUGUUCGGGUUGUCAUGCCAAUGGCACUGCCCGGUAGCUAAAUGCGGAAGAGAUAAGUGCUGAAAGCAUCUAAGCACGAAACUUGCCCCGAGAUGAGUUCUCCCUGAGACUUAAAGUCUCCUGAAGGAACGUUGAAGACGACGACGUUGAUAGGCCGGGUGUGUAAGCGCAGCGAUGCGUUGAGCUAACCGGUACUAAUGAACCGUGAGGCUUAACCUUACAACGCCGAAG
RNAcentral lists this ribosomal RNA (1688 nucleotides) under Salmonella enterica subsp. enterica serovar Enteritidis. RNAcentral's name for it is "partial 23S ribosomal RNA". It matches the Rfam family "Bacterial large subunit ribosomal RNA", at positions 1271 to 2925 of the family's 2925-position model. Lineage: Bacteria; Pseudomonadati; Pseudomonadota; Gammaproteobacteria; Enterobacterales; Enterobacteriaceae. The record is from RNAcentral.